RNAcentral lists this ribosomal RNA (460 nucleotides) under uncultured bacterium. Its description in RNAcentral is "partial 16S ribosomal RNA". It matches the Rfam family "Bacterial small subunit ribosomal RNA", at positions 338 to 795 of the family's 1533-position model. The record is from RNAcentral.
CCUACGGGUGGCAGCAGUGAGGAAUAUUGGUCAAUGGGAGAGAUCCUGAACCAGCCAAGCCGCGUGAGGGAAGACGGCCCUAUGGGUUGUAAACCUCUUUUGUCGGAGAACAAAACCCGGGACGUGUCCCGGACUGCGUGUAUCCGAAGAAAAAGCAUCGGCUAACUCCGUGCCAGCAGCCGCGGUAAUACGGAGGAUGCGAGCGUUAUCCGGAUUUAUUGGGUUUAAGGGGUGCUUAGCCGGGUUGACAAGUCAGAUGUGAAAUCCUGCGGCUUAACCGCAGAACUGCAUUUGAAACUGUUGAUAUUGAGUACUGGAGAGGCAGACGGAAUUCCUAGUGUAGCGGUGAAAUGCGUAGAUAUUAGGAGGAACACCAGUGGCGAAGGCGGUCUGCUGGACAGCAACUGACGGUGAGGCGCGAAAGCGUGGGGAGCAAACAGGAUUAGAUACCCCAGUAGUC